GGGGGCGUACUGGCUUCGACGGGUUUGUAUCGGUUUAGGAAGGCGUGUCGGGUUCCGAGCUCCCGUUAAACGAUCGGAAAACCAUAACUGCCAACACGCAGUUUGCAUACGCUGCCUAAUUAAUUAGGUAGCCGGCCUCAGCGGUGAGCCCGUGCGCCGCCUAUGGACGUCAUUUUACGGGAUAGGCUGAGAGCUUCUGUCCGGAGCAGCAGGCCGAGAUCAAUCGGGCUAGGCGACUGAGGAUUUUGCCGGUUCAGAAUCAGGAGCCAAAACAACAGAAUCGGAUACACACGUAGGCUUUCUAGGGCGAGCAUUCUCGGACGCGGGUUCGACUCCCGCCGCCUCCACCA
RNAcentral lists this transfer-messenger RNA (350 nucleotides) under Bryobacteraceae. RNAcentral's name for it is "CADEFT01 sp016789785 Standard tmRNA". It matches the Rfam family "transfer-messenger RNA". Rfam says of the family: Bacterial tmRNA, also known as 10Sa RNA or SsrA, is named for its dual tRNA and mRNA-like properties. Its role is to liberate the mRNA from a stalled ribosome. RNAcentral also lists the same sequence under 1 other name. The record is from RNAcentral. Lineage: Bacteria; Pseudomonadati; Acidobacteriota; Terriglobia; Bryobacterales.